Molecule: long non-coding RNA, 4992 nt
Organism: Callithrix jacchus (white-tufted-ear marmoset)
Lineage: Eukaryota; Metazoa; Chordata; Mammalia; Primates; Cebidae
Source: RefSeq, a predicted model, not a curated record
CCUCCCUGGCUUUUAUAUGCCUUGACUUGGCUCAUGAAAUGAGAGACGUCACCCUAACAACCCCCUCCUGUUCUCCAGCAAGACGGGGGGAGUCUCUCUGCUCCUGGCUGCAUUCCCCUACCUGGAUCACCAUGAAAUGUUAUUUCCAAUAGACCGAGCGACUUAACGGCUGUCAUAUGCCACAUAUCAGGCGGAAUCAUCUGACUUGCUCCAUCCCAUCAUGCUUCAUGGACCGUGAUUAGCUGCGGCACUCUGAGGCACACAGCACAGACUUGCCUGCGACUCCCCUCAAGAACAAACGGCUUCGCCUGACCCCAGAGGUUAAGGUUCCUUCAGACUGUUCAACUGAAAUUAGCAAAUGCUUACCAAGGACCCAGGUUGAGCCCCAGUGCAUGCCAGAGAUGAUCACAGAAAAAGAAACGGAAUCUCAGAGAGGUGGAGCCAAUUGACUGAAGCCACACAGAAUAUCAGCUGGAGUCAGGAUUCUAACACCAUCCCACGAUGAUGAUGAUGAUGAUGUUGAUGGUGACAAAGAUGACUAUGAAGAAGAAGUAGGAGGGGAUUUGGAAGAGGGAGAAGAAGAGGAAGAGAAGGAGGAGGAGCGAGAUGAGGAAACCAAGCCUCAAGGAAGCUGGGUCUCCUGUCCAAGCCCACGCAGUUGGCAAGUUGCAGAUCUGGAGUAGAGUACGAGACUUUCUCAUCUGUGUCUCCAAGGGACACCGUGACCCAUGAUGGCCUCUUUCUGCUGGGUUCAGGCAUAGUCUCAGAAUUCUUCCUGCCCCAUCACCCAGACCUCCCCAUCAACCCCACCUUUGCAGGUAGCAGAUGCUAUCUACUGCCAGCCUGACUCCAGGCUAAGACGAAGAAAAAGAAGGAAAUGCCUAUGGAACCAUCCUACAUAAAGAACACUUUGAGGUCAGAAAAAAAAAGCGCAUGUUGCACUUGCAGCCCCAUACUUCACUGGGUACAGCCCACUCUGCUCUGAGACUUGUUUUGAAAAUACAAAUUUGUUCUAGUGUGAUCGACAUGUUAGCGGAUAAUUUGAGCGUGAUGUGAAUUUGGUUUCUACCCAUAUGUGAUUUUGUCCUCAGGAAAUGCUAGGCAAAUGCAGAAAACUGUAUCCUGCUCAGUCAAGCCCUGCAGGAAACACACACACACAUGCAAGCAUGUGCACACACACGUGGCCCUUCAGUGUUACCUCAGCUGUGGGUUGGGAGCUGCACCUAUCUGCACCUGGUGUGACAACCUUCUGCUCCAUAUCUGAACAGCUGGCGGCUUGGAGGUGAGCUUUCAAAUGUCAACAGGCUUUGCAGACUCCAGUGAUCAGCGUUAUGUGAGCAGUUCAGACUUUCCACAGGGAUCUCGGGCCCAGGAUCACGCAGACCAGAACUUGACCUGGAGGCUGGUGUCUCCCAAACUGUUGUGAGGACCCUGCAACAGCUGGAGUGUCCUCAUCUUAACAGUCCCUGCCAUCUCCCGCCAAGGGUGUACACUGGCCUCCUGGUGGUCCUGUGAGGAAGGCAGGAGUCACCGAUGCUGUUCUGUCAACAGGGACAGACGGAUUACAGCUGAUAAGUGACUUGCCCAGAGUUUUGCAGCUUGGGACUCACAGAGGAGUAGCUGGAAAUCAGGACUGCGCCCAUCUCUUGCCUAACCUCAGAAGCAGUCUUGGCAUUUAUCAAUCAGUAAACAGUCGAGCCAGCACCCGGAAGACAUCUCCCUAAUGCUGCAAGUUGGAGGUAUUCCCUUUUAAAACUGUGUUAGAUUCCAUGCAAGGGGGAUAGAAGAUAUCAAACAAUUAAAGCAGUUGCCUCUUGAGGACAAGUUUGGGGUUCGUGAAAUGGUAAGUGUGUGCCACCAGGAGGCAACAGAGCUGAUGAAAGGACUGUGGCAUUUGGAGUGAGGAGAACCUGGUUCAAGCCCAGCUAAGCAACUUCAAGUAAGUCACAACAAAACUGACCUUCAGGGUCCUCACCAGGGGGUGAUGAUUAAAAUGCAGCAAUGUGGUAAAAGACACCUGCGCUCAGCAAAGCAGCAUCCAGACAUGAGGAAUCCCAGAACCAUCACCAUGGUGAUAAACAUGCUGACAGUGAGGGUACCGUGGUCCACCUUCCUUCCUUUUUUUUUGUCAAUUGAGAUAGAGUCUCAUUCUGUCACCUAGGCUAGAGUACAGUGGCAUGAUCUUGGCUUACUGCACAACCACCGCCUCCUGGGUUCAAGGGAGUCUCCUGCCUCAGCCCUCUGAGUAGCUGGGAUUAAAGGCACCUGCCACCACACCUGGCAAAUUUUUGCAUUUUUAGUAAAGACGGGGUUUUGCCAUGUUGCCCAGGCUGGUCUCAAACUCCUUGCCUCAAGUGAUACAUCUGCCUUGGCCUCCCAAAGUGCUGGAAUUAUAGGCAUGAGCCACCUUGCCUGGUCAACCUUCCUUCCUUUGGUUUUGGUACAACCAACCUUGUUUGUAAAGUUGUAUAAUGUGUAACAAAAUAGGUAUAUUUUGUAUAUGUGCAUACACUUUAUGUAUAUAUUGACGUUUAUCGUAUCUUACUGGAAUGCUGCAAAUGAACGGGGCUCAACAGGCCAAAAACCAGACCCAUUCUCUACCUGUACUCCAAACUAAUUCUGAUGGCCACAGUGAAUUGCACCAUCAGAAAAUUAGAAGUGCUCCUCUUGAAUCCAUGUGUCCUGACCUUUAUCUUGUUUAUUUCACGGCCUAAGGUCUCUGAUUCAUUCACUGUUCUCCCACCGUCUUCUCCAAAUGGCUUGCACUUCUUGCUUGGAUACUCAUGUCUCCCUCCUAACUGGUUUCACCCCCUUCUUUCUGGUCCUCCCUCCCCUCACUACAAAUUCUCCCAUGCAGUCUUGUCACACACACACACAGACAUUGGAUAUAUCAUUCUGUGGCUCCUCAAUGCUGCUGGAUAAAGCCAAGGGUCUGGAGCAUGACACUUGAGCCUCUGCUGUGGUCCAGCCCCUGCCUCCUUUUCCAAACCCUCGUCCUUGUCCUUGGAGGGUGGGACCAGGCUGGGGAGAGGCCACAAUACAAAAAUGGAAAGUGGUGGCAAAUUACUCCGAAUCGAGAUCAAUAAUGCAAUAUUUAAAACAUAAAAAUUAAUGCAAAAUAUAUGCAAUAUAAAAGUUUUAGAUCAAGACAGGCUUCCACCUGCACCUGUACAACCCACCUCACUCACCUUACCCUGACCUUGACCUUGUGGGACCCUGUCCUGAUUUUAACAUUUUGAUAUUUUAUUUUUCAUGAAUAUUUCACAUCAAUUGUGAUUGUUUUCUCAGUGUUGCAUUAAAAUCAUUGAAAUAUUAUUUAUCUUGAUUACUGAGUUUUUUUGUGUGUCCUUAAAUUUGGGGUGCAAGGUGAAUGCCUCUCUCCACCCUCACCCUGGACAAGUGACUGCUUUCCGAGCUUCUCCCAGAUUCUCUCUCCCACAGCCUCUUGUUCUACUGCCGAGCGUGUGUUCAGAGACCUGCCUCAGCAGGCUGUCAUCUACUCACGGUGUGGAUCUCACUGUCAUCCUGACCCUUCAACCCACUUCUCCUUGUGAGGCUCACUGGUUUGCGUCUGUCUCCACCACUGGGCUGUAUCAAGCAGAUACUUGGGAACUGGAGAAUCUCAGUGCCAGACACAUGGAAGCAUGAAUGAAUGAAUGAGGCAGCAUUGCUAGAACUCAAGAUUUUAUCAAUGAAACCUCAUGGUGUUGCCAUGUUCAGAUAGUUAGACUCAACGUAAUUUAGAAUUUGAGAAUCUGAGCACUGUUGACUUGUCCUGGAGGGAUAUCUUGCCUGGUCUUAUGCAUGGAGCUUAUUGUGCUUCAUCUGCAAUUCAAAAACCUUCUUACAGACUUUUAUUCACCACUGGGUCUUGAUGGAGGAAUGAAAUGGAAACUAUCCAAACAGGACUGCCACAGCUCUCUUCCUCCAGGCACUCGCCUGUGAUUUGCCACUUGAUCUCACAGCUGCACGUCUACCCCAACACAGAGCUCAGCACUUGGCGGCUGCCCAGUCAUAUUCCUUAGAUCAAUGCCUGUGCAGCUAGCUUUGCUUUUAACCGCAGCAUGAAAUUUUAACCAGGACAAAGGCCACCUCAGUGCAUUGUUCUUUUCUGCUCUAAUGUUUAGGAAUCUUAAGAUGAUAAGAGUGCAUGUCUCCUACAGAUUCAAUAAGCACAUAUUCUGUCUGAAUCUUUUCAUCAACAGCUUAAUUGGAACUUCUUUAAAAUGUCUACCCAGAUCCCACUAAAGGUGAAAACAAGGGCUUGUAUCCCGGGUGUGUUUUAUCUUAAAAACUCUUCAGUUUUGCAUUCUUCUCUGAUCUUUUCUGUAUCAUUUUAACAGAAAAACUAGUUCCUCUUCCAAGUCUUUGGGCAAAAUUUACACUCCAGGAAGAUAAACUCUGUUUUCCUGAUAUUUUGCCUGUUGCUUGAGACCCACGGGGCCAGGAAACAAGAGCCAUGCUCAGGGCUCACAAUGCAAGAGGGCCUUGCUCUUAGAGACUGACCCAUGCAUGCAUGAGUCUGGAGGUGACAUUGCUGAGCAUUUUGCAUCCCUGUGCCUUGCUUGCCUCAUUCUGUUCCCGCCUGCACCCUGCUGUGAAUCCCAUUGCCAGAGAUGGGAGCAGACCCUCAAGCUCAAAGGUGGUGACAGAGAGUUCUGUCUCCCUGACUACGCCGCUGGCUGCCCCAGAUGUCAAUUUCACAUGCAUCAAAACAGAGGAGAUUCUGACAAAACACCUCCUUGAAGAUCUUACAUGGGACUGUUGUGUAGACAAUGAGGUCAUUGGCAGUGUUAUCAUCCAUCACUUAUUUAUUUAUUUAUUGAGACAGAAUCUUACUCUGUUGCCCAGGCUGGAGUGAAGUGGUGCCAUCUGGGCUCACUGUACCCUCUGCCUACCUAAUUCUAGUGAUUCUCCUGCUUCAGCCUCCCGAGUAGCUGAGAUUAUAGGCAUGUGCCACUGUGUCCGGCUAUUUUUUGUAUUUUUAGUAGA